GUGCCAGCAGCCGCGGUAAUACGUAGGGUACGAGCGUUGUCCGGAAUUAUUGGGCGUAAAGAGCUCGUAGGUGGUUGGUCACGUCUGCUGUGGAAACGCAACGCUUAACGUUGCGCGUGCAGUGGGUACGGGCUGACUAGAGUGCAGUAGGGGAGUCUGGAAUUCCUGGUGUAGCGGUGAAAUGCGCAGAUAUCAGGAGGAACACCGGUGGCGAAGGCGGGACUCUGGGCUGUAACUGACACUGAGGAGCGAAAGCAUGGGGAGCGAACAGGAUUAGAUACCCUGGUAGUCCAUGCCGUAAACGUUGGGCACUAGGUGUGGGGGACAUUCCACGUUCUCCGCGCCGUAGCUAACGCAUUAAGUGCCCCGCCUGGGGAGUACGGUCGCAAGGCUAAA
RNAcentral lists this ribosomal RNA (396 nucleotides) under uncultured bacterium. RNAcentral describes it as "bacterial SSU rRNA". It matches the Rfam family "Bacterial small subunit ribosomal RNA", at positions 505 to 898 of the family's 1533-position model. The record is from RNAcentral.